GUAUGUUGUUAAAGGUUUAUCGCCUUGGGAUAGGCUUGCGUCUGAUUAGCUAGUUGGUGUGGUAACGGCACACCAAGGCUACGAUCAGUAACUGGUCUGAGAGGAUGAUCAGUCACACUGGAACUGAGACACGGUCCAGACUCCUACGGGAGGCAGCAGUGAGGAAUAUUGGGCAAUGCUCGAAAGAGUGACCCAGCAACGCCGCGUGGAGGAUGAAGGUAUUCUAUAUCGUAAACUCCUGUGAGAGCAGACGAAAGACAGAUUAUUAAUCUGGAUGACUGUAUGCUCAGAGGAAGCCCCGGCGAACUACGUG
This 313-nucleotide ribosomal RNA is filed under the name uncultured bacterium. RNAcentral describes it as "bacterial SSU rRNA". It matches the Rfam family "Bacterial small subunit ribosomal RNA", at positions 193 to 507 of the family's 1533-position model. The record is from RNAcentral.